This 892-nucleotide ribosomal RNA is filed under the name uncultured Bacillota bacterium. RNAcentral's name for it is "bacterial SSU rRNA". It matches the Rfam family "Bacterial small subunit ribosomal RNA", at positions 28 to 897 of the family's 1533-position model. Lineage: Bacteria; Bacillati; Bacillota. The record is from RNAcentral.
GACGAACGCUGGCGGCGUGCCUAAGACAUGCAAGUCGAGCGGGGCUUCGGGGCUUCGGCCCUGAAGCCUAGCGGCGGACGGGUGAGUAACACGUGGAUAACCUGCCCUCUGCUCUGGGAUAACAGGCCGAAAGGCCUGCUAAUACCGGAUAAGCUCACGGUCCCGCAUGGGGCUGGGAGAAAAGGCGCUGGAGUCAGUGGCGCUGGCAGAGGAGGGGUCCGCGGCCAUUAGCUGGUUGGCGGGGUAACGGCCCACCAAGGCGACGAUGGGUAGCCGGCCUGAGAGGGCGACCGGCCACACUGGGACUGAGACACGGCCCAGACUCCUACGGGAGGCAGCAGUCGGGAAUUUUGCACAAUGGGCGAAAGCCUGAUGCAGCAACGCCGCGUGAGCGAAGAAGGCCUUCGGGUUGUAAAGCUCUGUUGCCUGCGAAGAAGGGCCCCGUCAGGAAAUGGGCGGGGUUUGACGGUAGCAGGCGAGGAAGCCCCGGCAAACUACGUGCCAGCAGCCGCGGUAAUACGUAGGGGGCGAGCGUUGUCCGGAAUUACUGGGCGUAAAGGGCGUGUAGGCGGCCUGUUAAGUCAGGGGUGAAAGACCGGGGCUCAACCCCGGGGGUGCCUCUGAAACUGGCGGGCUUGAGUGCUCUAGAGGGCAGUGGAAUUCCCGGUGUAGCAGUGAAAUGCGUAGAGAUCGGGAGGAACACCAGUGGCGAAGGCGGCUGCCUGGGGAGUCACUGACGCUGAGGCGCGAAAGCUAGGGGAGCAAACAGGAUUAGAUACCCUGGUAGUCCUAGCCGUAAACGAUGAGUGCUAUGUGUGAGGGGUAUCGACCCCCCUCGUGCAGGAGCUAACGCACUAAGCACUCCGCCUGGGGAGUACGGCCGCAAGGUUGA